Molecule: long non-coding RNA, 2086 nt
Organism: Helianthus annuus (common sunflower)
Lineage: Eukaryota; Viridiplantae; Streptophyta; Magnoliopsida; Asterales; Asteraceae
Exons: 2
Source: RefSeq, a predicted model, not a curated record
AAUUUGAAUUAUUAAAUUCGUUAGCAUGUUGCCAUGUUUAAUAAAAUGAGAUACAAUAACUAAGUUAAUAAACCUAGUUAAAUGCCUAUUAGAUAAGCUAAAUGAUGAAACUUGUGGCAUUUAUGAUAGUAAGUUAAACUUGAGGGACUUAGAGUGCCAAACUUGGAAGUUUAAUUUAUUAAAACAAAAAUCACACACACAUCCACACAACGUGUGCGUGUGAUCGAGCAGGAGAAAAGGGGAAGGGGUGUAAACCCUAACCCACAUGAAAUCAUCAAAUUGGAAAAGGAUUUGAGGGUUAAUUGGAUGCAUGAACCAAGAUUUAUGAUCACUCAAGCGUUCUUGACACCAAGAUAGGAAUCCCAAAUUGAGAUGGACCCAAGUAUGGAAAGCUAACGGGUCAAGCGGAGGUGAGGAAGCAAGCAUGAACACUAACGCUUAAGGUAAGUGAUUCCGUAAUCACUUCUUAGUUGUUUAUGUAAUGUUAUAUGCAAUUUAAUUAUAUGUGAUAAUUGAGGUCGAAUAGGAAUGAAUUGUAUGAUGUCAAUGGAGUAUUAAACGGAUUUUAGUUUUGAUCCGAGCAAGGUAGGUGUGAUUAAGAAAUAGUAGCUAAGUAGUGGAAUUGGUUACUUAUGUAAGGAAUUCCUUUGUUAUUAAGGAUAGAGCAUAGUUGACUAAAAUGCCCUUGAUAGGUAUAUUGGGCAAACGACCUUAGAAGUCGUUUGGAAACGAGCUAUUCGAUUAGAGUAAUGUCUUGGACAAGUAUGAAAGCGAAGUAUAGGGUUUGGUAUGUCAUAGUCCACUUAAUGCGCAAAUACCCAUAACGGGUCAAAAAUAAGCCUUUGAGCGAAAAUGGGUUAAGAGGAUGCAAGACGUCCGAGAAUUUAAUCUUUUAUGAUAGGUGCCAAUGAAAUUAUUAAAGUUCAUAUGAGAUUGAGGUCAAAUAAACAGAUUAUGUUGAUAAAUGCACGAACGGGUCAAUUAGUUAGAAAAUGAUAAUAUGUCGAAUGCACGUAAGUUAAGAAUUUCCUUAAUCCGGAGGUAGGAUUUCAAGUUAAUAUGAUAGAAUGUGAAUUUACAAGCAUGUAGGAAGAAACGGGAGGUUAAACGGGUAAACGGUUUAAAAGUUAUGCGAGUUUUAGUGGGUGUUUUGUAUCUGCACCCGGAGUAUGGAACGCCGGGUUUGGGAGUAUGGAACGCCGGGCAGAAACCCAAACGCCCAUGCUUCACUGUCAAACGCUGGUACCAUGUUAAAGUGAACGUCGGGGUGUUCCAAACAAGCCUAGAUCACUUUCCUUGAGUUCCUUUGAUGUGUGUAAAGCUCCAUGUGAUAGGUUUAUGAUCCGGAAUCAUCACGUAACCUUCCACCACUACCCUACAUGUAAAAAUGCAUCAAAGUAACAUGUCUCGAUACAAAUACGAUGCUAAAACAUGUAAAUAUUAACCACUUAGGCGUACCAAAAGCAUAUGCAUCAGAUAUGUACGUAUGUAUGUAGGUAUAAAUAUGAUUGUAUGUAGAUAUGUAGGUGCGUAUGAUCAGACGUAUGGAUAUAUGAAUGCACGAAGUAGGAUUUAUCGUCUAUGAAAAGAAUGGGACAGGUAUGCAUGUAUACAUGGUUUCAAUACGUUUGAGUAUGGACAUUACUAAUGAUGUGCUUGAGAUUGAAAUGUAAUGCAGGAAUGAGAACGUCAGACUCUUGUAGAAUUGAAGCCGAACUCGGAACAAAGGAAUCCGAGAGGAUAGUCGAAUGAAUCAAAGUUUAUGUUGUCGAAUGUUAUAUGAUUUUUAAUUUGUAUCAGAUUAUUGUAGUAUGACGUUGUCAAUGACUAAUGGUUAAGUUGUAUGUGGCGUCCACAGGUACUACACGGAUUUCUUCUGCUGCUAAGGAAGUGAAGCGGACGUAGAUCGAGUCAAGAGCAAGGAUUGUACGGAUAGAUCGGUCACAUAGUUGAAGUAUAUAAUGUCUAGAAAUCUAAAUUUUAGUAUGAAUGUUGUGAAUUCUUUUAUAGAACGUUUAACAUUUUUAGAAUUUGGAACCUUCGUGAAAGUAAUGUCAUUAAUAAGGAAAGAAAUUUUAAAGCUCUU